Molecule: long non-coding RNA, 283 nt
Organism: Pomacea canaliculata
Lineage: Eukaryota; Metazoa; Mollusca; Gastropoda; Architaenioglossa; Ampullariidae
Exons: 3
Source: RefSeq, a predicted model, not a curated record
AUGGCUUUGGUGUGGCUGCAAGCAGCAGUUGUUGACGGGUGCACUCCGAACCACCAGUUCUGUAUCGGUCCACCGUGUUGCAGUAAUUCGGUUUGCGUGUACGUUCCUGAGAAGGGUCCUACAUGCAGGGACAAAGGGACAAUCUGCUCGACAGGACCUGGAGGUGUACAGACAUGUCUAAAGCCUGGAAUGUAUAUUGACUUGUUUCGCUAGAAUUGGCGAGGACUUCUAAGUGUUUCAGGGAUACAAGCUGUCACGACAACGGUUAAAUGCCGAGUGUAUU